UACAGAGACCCCGAGCGUUAUCCGGAUUUAUUGGGCGUAAAGCGUGUGCAGGCGGACUAAUUAGUCAUUUGUUAAAACUCCGAGCUCAACUCGGUUAUCGCAUAUGAAACGGUUAGUCUAGAGACAGUGAGGGAUCAGUGGAACUUAUGGUGUAGUAGUGAAAUGCGUUGAUAUCAUAGGGAACAUCAAAGGCGAAGGCAUCUGAUUGGCACUGUUCUGACGCUCAGACACGAAAGCGUGGGUAGCGAAUGGGAUUAGAUACCCCAGUAGUCCACGCCGUAAACGAUGCAUACUAGGCAUGUGGGGAGCGACUCCUUGCGUGUCGAAGCUAACGCGUUAAGUAUGCCGCCUGGGAAGUACGGUCGCAAGACUAAAACUCAAAGGAAUAGACGGGGAUCCGCACAAGCGGUGGAUCAUGUGGUUUAAUUCGAUGCAACGCGAGAAACCUCACCCAGACUAGAAACUUAGCUGCACGCUCUAGAGAUAGAGAAGCCUUCGAGGGUGCUAAGCAGGUGCUGCAUGGUUGUCGUCAGCUCGUGCCGUAAGGUGUUCCCUUAAGUGGGGUAACGAGCGCAACCCUCAUCGUGUGUUUUAUAUGUCACACGAGACUGCCCCGACAUUUGGACUUUAUUACUUCGGUAAUAGAGGGUAAAUGUCGGGGAGGAAGGAGAGGAUGACGUCAAAUCAGCAUGGCCCUUGACGUCUGGGGCUACACACAUGAUACAAUGGUCGGUACAAUGGGCUGCCAAAUCGCGAGAUGGAGCUAAUCCCCAAAACCGACCCCAGUUCGGAUAGGAGUCUGCAACUCGACUCCUUGAAGUCGGAAUCGCUAGUAAUCGGGAAUCAGAACGUCCCGGUGAAUACGUUCCCGGAUC
Molecule: ribosomal RNA, 875 nt
Filed under: uncultured bacterium
Lineage: Bacteria
Description: bacterial SSU rRNA
Rfam family: Bacterial small subunit ribosomal RNA
Source: RNAcentral